RNAcentral lists this unclassified non-coding RNA (268 nucleotides) under uncultured Agaricales. RNAcentral's name for it is "sequence contains 5.8S rRNA gene, ITS2, 28S rRNA gene". The stretch from base 1 to 52 matches the Rfam family "5.8S ribosomal RNA", at positions 103 to 154 of the family's 154-position model. The record is from RNAcentral. Lineage: Eukaryota; Fungi; Basidiomycota; Agaricomycetes; Agaricales.
AACGCAUCUUGCGCUUCUUGGUAUUCCGAGAAGCAUACCUGUUUGAGUGUCAUUAAAUUCUCAAAUCACAACUUUUUGUGGCUUGGAUAGUUGGGUAUUUGCCUGUUCUAAUAGACUGGCUUACCUUAAAUAUAUAAGUGGUUAGUUUAGAAACUUAUUGGGUGUUGUAAAUAUGUUCAAUACAUCUAUGGUUCUGAAUUAUGCUAUAUAAUGAUUGAUAAUUGAUGAUUUUGACCUCAAAUCAGGUAGGAUUACCCGCUGAACUUAA